This 491-nucleotide ribosomal RNA is filed under the name uncultured bacterium. RNAcentral's name for it is "partial 16S ribosomal RNA". It matches the Rfam family "Bacterial small subunit ribosomal RNA", at positions 29 to 507 of the family's 1533-position model. The record is from RNAcentral.
AGUGAACGCUGGCGGUAGGCCUACACAUGCAAGUCGAACGGCAGCACAGUAAGAGCUUGCUCUUACGGGUGGCGAGUGGCGGACGGGUGAGGAAUACAUCGGAAUCUACUUUUUCGUGGGGGAUAACGUAGGGAAACUUACGCUAAUACCGCAUACGACCUACGGGUGAAAGCAGGGGAUCUUCGGACCUUGCGCGAUUGAAUGAGCCGAUGUCGGAUUAGCUAGUUGGCGGGGUAAAGGCCCACCAAGGCGACGAUCCGUAGCUGGUCUGAGAGGAUGAUCAGCCACACUGGAACUGAGACACGGUCCAGACUCCUACGGGAGGCAGCAGUGGGGAAUAUUGGACUAUGGGCGCAAGCCUGAUCCAGCCAUACCGCGUGGGUGAAGAAGGCCUUCGGGUUGUAAAGCCCUUUUGUUGGGAAAGAAAAGCAGCAGGUUAAUACCCCGCUGUUCUGACGGUACCCAAAGAAUAAGCACCGGCUAACUUCGUG